This is a non-coding RNA of Nothobranchius furzeri (turquoise killifish), 259 nucleotides long. NCBI's taxonomy places the organism in Eukaryota, Metazoa, Chordata, Actinopteri, Cyprinodontiformes, Nothobranchiidae. The record is from RefSeq and is a predicted model, not a curated record.
UCCACCUGCCAGAGGUGUGAUUUAUCACAAGCGUCGUUCAGCUUCCCUGGCCUCCUGCUCUCCACCGCUCACCUGCCUUCCUGGAUCCAGCAUCUCCUCCAGCGACCAUCUCCUCCCUGCAUCAACCUGACUUGCCUCUCCCUCCUGCCCCUCGUCCUGCUCAACUCAAGUCGGAGUUGCCUCGUUUCCUGUCCCGUUUGGAUCAGCGCCCUCAGUUUUCGCUUUGUUUUCUUUAUAAAAUAAAGAUUUUAUUAUCAUC